AAACUUUGAAUUCAUGAAGAGCAUUCUUGAACUUGGUUGAAGCUUGUUGUAAUCUGAUCUCAUUCCUUACCAUAUAAGAACUUAAUAUUGACGUAGAAUUAUCUGAUUGUGUUUUGCUUGCAUACUCAUGAUCACCAUAUACAUAUUUGGAUCAUCUUCCUCCUUUCACCACUCUUGUUGAUCCAAGUAGCUGAUGUUUUGAUCAGUUUGCCAUACCCACAGCCUAUCCUUUUCUUUCAAG
RNAcentral lists this long non-coding RNA (241 nucleotides) under Capsella rubella. RNAcentral's name for it is "long non-coding RNA (CRUB_LNC000905)". The record is from RNAcentral. Lineage: Eukaryota; Viridiplantae; Streptophyta; Magnoliopsida; Brassicales; Brassicaceae.